UACGAGGGGGGCAAGCGUUGUUCGGAUUUAUUGGGCGUAAAGGGUGCGUAGGCGGUUUGGCAAGUCUUGUGUGAAAUCUAUGGGCUCAACCCAUAGCCUGCACGAGAAACUACCGGGCUUGAGUGAUGGAGAGGUGAGUGGAAUUUCCGGUGUAGCGGUGAAAUGCGUAGAUAUCGGAAGGAACACCUGUGGCGAAAGCGGCUCACUGGACAUUAACUGACGCUGAUGCACGAAAGCUAGGGGAGCAAACAGG
Molecule: ribosomal RNA, 253 nt
Filed under: uncultured bacterium
Lineage: Bacteria
Description: partial 16S ribosomal RNA
Rfam family: Bacterial small subunit ribosomal RNA
Source: RNAcentral